RNAcentral lists this ribosomal RNA (661 nucleotides) under Russula sardonia. RNAcentral's name for it is "eukaryotic LSU rRNA". The stretch from base 229 to 382 matches the Rfam family "5.8S ribosomal RNA". The record is from RNAcentral. Lineage: Eukaryota; Fungi; Basidiomycota; Agaricomycetes; Russulales; Russulaceae.
GGUUUCCGUAGGUGAACCUGCGGAAGGAUCAUUAUCGUACAACCGAGGCACGAAGGGCUGUCGCUGACUUUUUUGUCGUGCACGCCCGAGUGCUCUCAAACAAUCCAUCUCACCCUAUGUGCACCACCGCGUGGGUCCCCCUUUUGGCUCGUUCCGAGGGGGGCUUGCGUUUUCACACAAACUUAAAUACAGUGUAGAAUGUCUUUUGCGAUAACACGCAAUUAAUACAACUUUCAACAACGGAUCUCUUGGCUCUCGCAUCGAUGAAGAACGCAGCGAAAUGCGAUACGUAAUGUGAAUUGCAGAAUUCAGUGAAUCAUCGAAUCUUUGAACGCACCUUGCGCCCCUUGGCAUUCCGAGGGGCACACCCGUUUGAGUGUCGUGAAAUUCUCAAAAGCCUUUCUUUUGAAAGGAUUUUGGACAUGGAGGCUUUUGCUGGCUUCACCUCGAAGCCAGCUCCUCUUAAACGAAUUAGUGGGGUCUGCUUUGCCGAUCCUCGACGUGAUAAGAUGUUUCUACGUCUGGGGUUCGGUGAUGUCUUUUGGGCACCUGCUUCUAAUCGUCUCAUCGACAAUGAUGGCGUUCCGGUCACCGCCGUUUCAUCGGUCGGUCGGCUUGACCCACCAAAAAAACUUUGACCUCAAAUCGGGUGAGACUACCC